RNAcentral lists this ribosomal RNA (527 nucleotides) under uncultured bacterium. RNAcentral describes it as "bacterial SSU rRNA". It matches the Rfam family "Bacterial small subunit ribosomal RNA", at positions 62 to 570 of the family's 1533-position model. The record is from RNAcentral.
UCGAGGGAGAAAGCCGCAAGGUGAGUAAACCGGCGAACGGGUGCGUAACACGUGGAUAAUCUACCUUCCUGACCGGGACAACUGGCCGAAAGGCUUGCUAAUACCGGAUAAGACCACGGGAGCUUCGGCUCCUGAGGGAAAAGGUGGCCUCUGUAUACAAGCUAUUACAGGGAGAUGAGUCCGCGGCCCAUCAGCUAGUUGGCGGGGUAAAGGCCCACCAAGGCAACGACGGGUAGCUGGUCUGAGAGGAUGAUCAGCCACACUGGAACUGAGACACGGUCCAGACUCCUACGGGAGGCAGCAGUGGGGAAUCUUGCGCAAUGGGCGAAAGCCUGACGCAGCAACGCCGCGUGUGUGAUGAAGGUCUUCGGAUCGUAAAGCACUGUCGCGAGGGAAGAUAUGCUCACGAAUAACAAGCGUGAGUUAAGACGGUACCUCGAGAGGAAGCACCGGCUAACUCUGUGCCAGCAGCCGCGGUAAUACAGAGGGUGCGAGCGUUGUUCGGAAUUAUUGGGCGUAAAGCGCUU